GAGUAAACACUAAAUAAAGUAAUAAAUAAUAAAAAAGAUAAUAAUAACAAGAAAAAUGCUUAGUAUCUUAAUAAGCAAAUAAAAAUGACAAUGAUAAUAAGAAGGAAGAUGCUUAGUACCUUAAAGAUACCUGACAGUUAUUUGUUAAGUGGACAACUGGAUAAAUGAAUAACAAACUUUUUUAGGAAAUUCUGUUGGAAAAAUGCAGAAAUUCAAUAGGCACAGCUCUUCUGUAUUAUGAGCACCUUAAAAACCCAAACUAUGUGUAUUCCAUCUUUGUCUCCUGCAACUUGCCAAACCUUAUAGAGGUCCUUUGAUAAAUAUAUAAUAAAGAUGUGCUCAUACAGUUCAUAUUGUACAAUGUGUCACAUUUAGGUAUCAGUAGCAUUUUCAUUGUUGUGAAAAGUUUUUGUAAUAUUUUUAUAAUUUUUUGAGUUUAGAGUUAAGCUAUCUGAAUAUUUAUAAUGAUAAUAUUUUGGCUAUUAGAAACAGAGUAUCUUGCUGUAACAAAAUUACUACUAACACACUAAUUAUCCAGUAGAUAGAACAACAUACCUUGCUCUAAUGGAGUAAAUAUAUCUUAUUUGGUUUCAACUUAGACGGAAUGAAGUUGAUAAUAGUGAGACCUUGUUGGUACAAGACUCUGUAACAUAACCUGCGCUUCUCAACAAAGAAUUGCUUUUCUGACUUCUGCACUCAAUAGCAAGACAAAUCUCUCCUCUGUCUUUUUCUUAUCAGACUACUCAACAUGAAGGCAAUAAGAAUGAAGACCUUUAUGUAUAAUAA
This 786-nucleotide small RNA is filed under the name Pan troglodytes (chimpanzee). RNAcentral describes it as "retained intron". The record is from RNAcentral. Lineage: Eukaryota; Metazoa; Chordata; Mammalia; Primates; Hominidae.